Macaca mulatta (Rhesus monkey) is the source of this 2740-nucleotide non-coding RNA. The record is from RefSeq and is a predicted model, not a curated record. Lineage: Eukaryota; Metazoa; Chordata; Mammalia; Primates; Cercopithecidae.
UUCCUGCAGGUCAGCGGGACGAGGCCGUGGCAGCGCUUAUGGACCAGCAGUUUGCAGUUGAUGCACCUGUAGCCUUGCCUCGCGAGGCCCCAUAUCCUCUCGCUGCACUGACCGCAGUACGCUCUCUGUAGACGGGAACAGAGCAUCAGGCCCAGGCCACGUUGAGGGGCCAGCGGAGAGAGGGCAGGCAGAGCCUUCCACACCUGUACCUUCUCAAAAGAGGACACUGAGCCAGGCAACAGGUGGCCCCGGCACCUUGUCCCUUCCGGGCGCCAGGCUUGCCCAAGCUCGGCAGCUUCCUCUUGGGUCCACCCCAAGGUUGGGGGAACCAACAGCCCCAAGGAGAGGCCUGGAACCCUGUUCUGCAUGAGAGAACACAGGGGAGGCCCCAUCGGGCAGGGGAGACGAGGCGCUGCUUCAGGCAAGGCCCCCUGGUUUGCAGGGGCUGGGGGGCUGCAGCUCCUGCUGGGCUCUGCGUAGGGCAGCCUGGGGUCCUGUCUAGGGCUGAGCAGAGUGUAGGGCACCCCCUGCCUGAUCUUCAUUCAAACAGAACCUCCUCCCGACAGCCUCAGAGAAGGUGAACUCGGACCACAAACAUCUCGAACUACUACACCACAGCCUGCAAUUAUCUUAGUAUUCUUUGCUCAGUAUUUUUCAAGAUUUUAAAUGAUCCUUCUUUAUUCUUCAUGGUUCUGAACAAUUCGAAAAUGAUGAGUGUCACCUCACACCCAGUGAAGAGGAAAUACAGUGUACUGUGAACGGCAUGAACUGAAUUCACGUGAGGAAACGGGACCCUCAGCACGUGUGGGCACCAGGUGCAUCUGAGCAAACGGGGCUCACACCCCCUACAAGACUCUCCUGCUCAUCAGAAAGAGCCUGCUUGGGGCGCCAGGGCCCGGGGACUCUUCCCCCGCCCACAGCCCGCUUGUUUGGGUGGGGACAGAUAACCAGCACCUAGGACAGUGCCCAGCACACAGCGGGCAUCAGCCUGCAGCCGGCCUAUCGUAAGACUUCGCCUUGUGAGCCCGAGGCCAAUUGGGAAUCAACUCCCUUUCAUGUACAUGCAUCCUAUUGGUUCCAUCCCUCUGGAGAACCCUGACUCAUGAAGACACCUUCGUUUUGGACUUCCAGCCCCAGACUGCGGGAGAGUGAGCUUCUGUGGUUUAAGCCACAGGAAGUCCUCUGGGAUCUCCAGGCAACGUCCAGGUCUUCCUAGCACCGGCCUACUGAUCUCCUGGAGCCUAGUUCCCUCCACACCCCUCUCUUCAGUCACUCAGGAGCUUGUCCUGCAUCCCCACCUGUGUCAGCCCCACGAGGAAUGGGAGUCCAGACCCAUUCUUGCCACAUGACGGACUGAGCACACGCGGGGGCGGGAGGAGUGGCUGACAUGCACAGAACUUCUUGAUGGUCUAGAGAGCAGACCACAGGAGUAGAAGGAGGGGCAGGUGACCUGAGGUCGCUCCAGGAGAUGGAGGAGCCGGACAUCCAGCAGAGGUUGACACGUGAGGCCACGUGGCAGGUGGGUGUGGAACGCAAAGGUAGCUCCAGGGCCACUGCUCCUGAUGACGAGGCAGCCUCCACGCAGCUCUCUCACAGUGACACACGUCCAUGAACCCCCUGCCACCGUGCAGUCAUCGUACUGGCUUUACAGGGAGGGAACCGAGGUACAGAAAGGGUGGUACAGAGGCAGAGAGAGCAGAGGGGCUGGGACUGAACCAGCACGGAGUGGCCUUGGGUGUCCCAUCAUGCUGGAGAUGGCUGCUGGAGGCCACCUGUCAUGGGGACAGACUGCAAGAAGCACGGGGCUGGCCAGGCAAUAGCAUGUGACAGGCCGUCAGGGGCUCUGUGUGGAGGCCCGCAGAGGGAACAGGCCCUCUAUGCUUCUACCCACCCCCAAGACACUCCCUGUGUGGGACAAACUCCAGGGCCACCAAGGCACCCCAGACACCUCCCCUUCCACUGUGAAAUACAACAAUUACAAAAGCAUCUGAAUCACCCAUUUUGUAAGAAUUAGAAAAGCACCACAAAGAGAAACAAGGGAAGUAAGCUAAGUGUCCUCUGGAAAGGGCCCCCCCCAUGGGUGGACGUUGGAAAGACAGAGACCCAAGUAGGGAUGGGGCUGAAGGAGCUUCCGGGGUUCACGGAGACUCUUGCAGCCAAUAGGAACACUGUGUGCAGCUAAAAACACACACCCUGGCACUACAUGCGGAAUGCGGCCGCUCCACUCUGGAUGCAGGCAGGCUGGGGCCUCAGGCCAGCGAACCCUGAGCCUUGAUAAAAGUCACGCAGCCAGGCAGACACAGACAGCAUUCACUGGGCAGCCACCACACGGGGAAAGGCCCGGAGGGCACUUCCCGCCUCAGACAGCCCUAGUCAAAGCCUCAUCCCCGCACCAGUGAAAGCAUUUCUGUGACCCUGCCCUCGGGCGCCAAAAAGAGCCGAGCCUGGGCUCCGCAGGACGUGCCUUCCCUCCUCUCUCUUUGCUUUUAAAAGUAACAAAGGGCCCCUUGAGGGACUAGUCCCGAGGGGGCCACUCACCCUGUUAAAGCGCUUGGCUUGGAAGAGAUGGCCGUUGGCACGGUACAGCUUCCUCCAUCUUCUGGCUCCCCGGCGGUAGAUGGAUUCUGGAAAGGACAGGAGAAAGGCGUAAAGAAACAGAGUGGCAGCCACGAGUCCACGCAGGGUGCAGCUGCGACAGGCCACUCCCGUCCAGGUGGUGGUGGCUGCAGCGUCCUCCCAG